Molecule: ribosomal RNA, 1509 nt
Filed under: Triticum aestivum (bread wheat)
Lineage: Eukaryota; Viridiplantae; Streptophyta; Magnoliopsida; Poales; Poaceae
Description: partial small subunit ribosomal RNA
Source: RNAcentral
AUGAACAGAAAACUUAACCAACUACGAUACAUGAGAGCCAUUGCCCUCUCCAUCAUCUUCUCACCACCUCCAACUUGUGAUGGCCAACUGAGCACCAUGCACCUCCUCAACAACCCGGCUGCCACACUACACAGGUUCCGUAGAACCAUCCACACUCGCCUCAAUGUCCUCAGCCCGUCUUCUCCACAGGCACGACGGCCUCUUCGGCCACUGACCUCUUCCAUCUUCUCCACAGGCACGACGGCCUCUCCGGGCAACUCCUGCCCCAGCCAUCUUCUCCUCAGGCACGACGGCCUCUCCCAUGGUCAGGCCUCAACCAUUCUCACCUCAGGCACGACGGCCUCUCCCCCGGACACUUCCUCAUCACCAACCACACUCAAGCCGCAGCCUCAUCAUCUCCAUCAUCACCACAUCUCCCUCUCUCCCCCUAAAAGAAAAUCCAUCUGGCUGCCAUCAGUAGCAGCAUCUCUCUCCUUGGUCCUUGCAGCGAACCAAGGCAUCUCUCCCCCUCUGCUCCUUGCACCAAGCACGGAGGAGCAACAACACCACAGCCAGCGCAACAUCUCAUCCUUCUCCCCCAUCUCAUCCUUCUCCCCCUCAGCAGCACCAGCAGCUGCGACCAACUCCUCUUCCAAACAGCAGCAGCAACUAGCACACAGGAGCCACAAGCAGCUGCCCUUCUCUUUCUCCUAUGCCUCCUCUCCGUCUCCUGCAGCAGCAGCACACAACCUUCCUUCUUACUCUUUUGUCAGCAGCAGCAGCAGAACACAGCAGCCGCCAGGACCACAGCGCCCAACAGCACCUCCUCUUCCUCACGCGCCGCUACACUUGGACGCAACCACAGCAGCUACAGAUGCAGCCACAACAGCAGCAACAACAGAGUCAGCCUCCUUCUCCUCUUCCUCCUUGGCCGCUCCUCCUCUGUUUCCUUCUCGCCGCGCACAACCUCACCUCCUCUUCUGCACCAGCAGCUCAACUCCUCUCUUUUUUUUUACUUCCAGCAGCAGGCAGCACCAGGACAACAGCAGCACUUGGCGCGCGCGCAGGCGCACCUCAGCUCCUCUUCUUCCUUUUCUUUCCCUCUUCUGCCCGCACGCAGCCUCUCCAUGCCUCACUUGCCGCGCGCGCAGCCGCUCGCCAGCGCCACGCCGCCUGCCCAGCGACCCACAGCCAUGGCCAGCGCGUGCUGUGCAUCCCAGCGCCUCCUCGCAGCGCCGCCUAGAGCACGAGCACGAGCUCGAACUCCAAGCCCCAGAUCCGCAUCUCCCGGCCUUCUGCACGCGCCCACCGCGCCGAGCUCGCCAGAUCCAGUCCGCACACGCGCUCAUCAUGCCCGCGCCUUGCUCGCGCGUGCAGCUCGCCGCCGCCACCCGCGCACAGCUCCCAGCCAGCCCCCGCCGCGAAUCCACGCCGAGAGCAGCUCCUGGACACCGCGCCCAGAUCCGCCGACCGCGCAGCUCCGCCCGGAUCCGCCUCCUUCCUUCACGUCCCCGCCGCCUCCUUCCCUAG